GAUCAUGGCUCAGGACGAACGCUGGCGGCGUGCCUAAUACAUGCAAGUAGAACGCUGAAGAGAGGAGCUUGCUCUUCUUGGAUGAGUUGCGAACGGGUGAGUAACGCGUAGGUAACCUGCCUGGUAGCGGGGGAUAACUAUUGGAAACGAUAGCUAAUACCGCAUAAAAUUGAUUAUUGCAUGAUAAUUAAUUGAAAGAUGCAAUUGCAUCACUACAAGAUGG
RNAcentral lists this ribosomal RNA (223 nucleotides) under uncultured bacterium. RNAcentral describes it as "partial 16S ribosomal RNA". It matches the Rfam family "Bacterial small subunit ribosomal RNA", at positions 15 to 228 of the family's 1533-position model. The record is from RNAcentral.